Molecule: unclassified non-coding RNA, 287 nt
Filed under: uncultured fungus
Lineage: Eukaryota; Fungi
Description: sequence contains ITS1
Rfam family: 5.8S ribosomal RNA (bases 1-107)
Source: RNAcentral
GAAAUGCGAUAAGUAAUGUGAAUUGCAGAAUCCCGCGAACCAUCGAGUCUUUGAACGCAAGUUGCGCCCGAAGCCAUUAGGUUGAGGGCACGCCUGCCUGGGCGUCUCACGUUGCGUCGCCCGCGCCCCCUCCCCCCGCGAAGGGGGGAAGAAGGGCUGCGGGCGGAUGUUGGCCCCCUGCGCGCGCCCGCUCGCGGUCGGCCCAAAAGCGAGUCCCCCGCAACCGACGACGCGUCGCGACGAGUGGUGGUUGACAAACCGUUGCGUCGCCUACCCGCUAAGUUUAA